RNAcentral lists this ribosomal RNA (627 nucleotides) under Triticum aestivum (bread wheat). Its description in RNAcentral is "partial small subunit ribosomal RNA". The record is from RNAcentral. Lineage: Eukaryota; Viridiplantae; Streptophyta; Magnoliopsida; Poales; Poaceae.
AUGUACUCUGAUAACUACUUUGUGAAACUACCUAGGAGGGUCAGUGGAUACUCUGGUUUGGAUUGGGUGCAGGAGACACUAGCCCGAGAUACCCAAUGCUAUAACAUGUUUAGGGUUGAGAGACCUUUGUUUAACAAGCUACAUAAUACUUUGGUGCAAUCAUAUGGCUUGAAGUCCACUACAAAAAUGACAUCUGUAGAGGCUCUAGCUAUGUUUUUAUGGAUUGUUGGAUCACCACAGUCAGUUAGACAGGCUGAGAACCGUUUUAGGAGGUCCAUGGAGACAGUAAGUAGGACAUUUAACAGAGUUUUGACAUGCCUCCUCAGGUUAGCACAUGACAUAAUUGUACCCAAGGACCCAACAUUUUCAGAGGUGCACCCAAACUUAGAAAAUCCAGCAUUCUGGCCACACUUCAAUGACUGCAUAGAAGCUAUAGAUGGGACACAUGUGAAUGUUGUGGUGGAUAAGAGUAAGAGGAUUCCAUACUUGAACAGGCACAAUGAAACCAGUCAGAAUGUGCUUGCUGUUUGUGAUUUCGACAUGAGAUUUACAUUUGUGAUGUCGGGAUGGCCUGGUUCAGCACAUGACAUGAGAGUUUUGAAAGAUGCCAGAACUACUCAUCAUUAA